Molecule: ribosomal RNA, 253 nt
Filed under: uncultured bacterium
Lineage: Bacteria
Description: partial 16S ribosomal RNA
Rfam family: Bacterial small subunit ribosomal RNA
Source: RNAcentral
UACGGGGGGGGCAAGCGUUGUUCGGAAUUACUGGGCGUAAAGGGCGCGUAGGCGGUUUGCUAAGUUGGAUGUGAAAACUCUGGGCUUAACCCAGAGCCUGCAUCCAAAACUGGCAAGCUGGAGUUUUGGAGGGGGAAGCGGAAUUCCUGGUGUAGCAGUGAAAUGCGUAGAUAUUGGGAAGAACACCGGUGGCGAAGGCGGCCAUCUGGACCGAGACUGACGCUGAGGCGCGAAAGCGUGGGGAGCAAACAGG